RNAcentral lists this ribosomal RNA (253 nucleotides) under uncultured bacterium. RNAcentral describes it as "partial 16S ribosomal RNA". It matches the Rfam family "Bacterial small subunit ribosomal RNA", at positions 524 to 776 of the family's 1533-position model. The record is from RNAcentral.
UACGUAGGGGGCAAGCGUUAUCCGGAUUUACUGGGUGUAAAGGGAGCGUAGGUGGUUUAAUAAGUCAGAUGUGAAAGCCCGGGGCUCAACUCCGGGACUGCAUUUGAAACUAUUAAACUAGAGUGCAGGAGAGGUAAGUGGAAUUCCUAGUGUAGCGGUGAAAUGCGUAGAUAUUAGGAGGAACACCAGUGGCGAAGGCGGCUUACUGGACUGUAACUGACACUGAGGCUCGAAAGCGUGGGGAGCAAACAGG